UGGGGAAUCUUGGACAAUGAGGGGCAACCCUGAUCCAGCCAUGCCGCGUGAGUGAUGAAGGCCUUAGGGUCGUAAAGCUCUUUCGCCUGUGAAGAUAAUGACGGUAGCAGGUAAAGAAACCCCGGCUAACUCCGUGCCAGCAGCCGCGGUAAUACGGAGGGGGUUAGCGUUGUUCGGAAUUACUGGGCGUAAAGCGCACGUAGGCGGACCAGAAAGUUGGGGGUGAAAUCCCGGGGGCUCAACCCCGGAACUGCCUCCAAAACUAUUGGUCUAGAGUUCGAGAGAGGUGAGUGGAAUUCCAAGUGUAGAGGUGAAAUUCGUAGAUAUUUGGAGGAACACCAGUGGCGAAGGCGGCUCACUGGCUCGAUACUGACGCUGAGGUGCGAAAGUGUGGGGAGCAAACAGGAUUAGAUACCCUGGGUAGUCCACACCGUAAAACGAUGAAUGCCAGUCGUCGGGUAGCAUGCUAUUCGGUGACACACCUAACGGAUUAAGCAUUCCGCCUGGGGAGUACGGUCGCAAGAUU
RNAcentral lists this ribosomal RNA (526 nucleotides) under uncultured bacterium. RNAcentral describes it as "bacterial SSU rRNA". It matches the Rfam family "Bacterial small subunit ribosomal RNA", at positions 355 to 895 of the family's 1533-position model. The record is from RNAcentral.